UACGGAGGGUGCAGCGUGUCGAUUAUUGGUUUAAAGGGUGCGUAGGCGGCUUUUAAGUCAGUGGUGAAAUACCAGGCAGACCUCAACUGUUGAAGGUGCCAUUGAUACUGAGAGGCUUAGUACAGAUGAGGUAGCGGAAUUUAUGGUGUAGCGGUGAAAUGCAUAGAUACCAUAAAGAACACCGAUUGCGAAGGCAGCUUACUAAGCUGUAACUG
This 215-nucleotide ribosomal RNA is filed under the name uncultured bacterium. Its description in RNAcentral is "partial 16S ribosomal RNA". It matches the Rfam family "Bacterial small subunit ribosomal RNA", at positions 524 to 742 of the family's 1533-position model. The record is from RNAcentral.